This 900-nucleotide ribosomal RNA is filed under the name Geobacillus sp. SP45. Its description in RNAcentral is "bacterial SSU rRNA". It matches the Rfam family "Bacterial small subunit ribosomal RNA", at positions 79 to 962 of the family's 1533-position model. Lineage: Bacteria; Bacillati; Bacillota; Bacilli; Caryophanales; Anoxybacillaceae. The record is from RNAcentral.
CUUGCUCUGAUUUGGUCAGCGGCGGACGGGUGAGUAACACGUGGGCAACCUGCCCGCAAGACCGGGAUAACUCCGGGAAACCGGAGCUAAUACCGGAUAACACCGAAGACCGCAUGGUCUUUGGUUGAAAGGCGGCCUUUGGCUGUCACUUGCGGAUGGGCCCGCGGCGCAUUAGCUAGUUGGUGAGGUAACGGCUCACCAAGGCGACGAUGCGUAGCCGGCCUGAGAGGGUGACCGGCCACACUGGGACUGAGACACGGCCCAGACUCCUACGGGAGGCAGCAGUAGGGAAUCUUCCGCAAUGGGCGAAAGCCUGACGGAGCGACGCCGCGUGAGCGAAGAAGGCCUUCGGGUCGUAAAGCUCUGUUGUGAGGGACGAAGGAGCGCCGUUCGAAGAGGGCGGCGCGGUGACGGUACCUCACGAGGAAGCCCCGGCUAACUACGUGCCAGCAGCCGCGGUAAUACGUAGGGGGCGAGCGUUGUCCGGAAUUAUUGGGCGUAAAGCGCGCGCAGGCGGUUCCUUAAGUCUGAUGUGAAAGCCCACGGCUCAACCGUGGAGGGUCAUUGGAAACUGGGGGACUUGAGUGCAGGAGAGGAGAGCGGAAUUCCACGUGUAGCGGUGAAAUGCGUAGAGAUGUGGAGGAACACCAGUGGCGAAAGCCGGCUCUCUGGCCUGCAACUGACGCUGAGGCGCGAAAGCGUGGGGAGCAAACAGGAUUAGAUACCCUGGUAGUCCACCGCCGUAACGAUGAGUGCUAAGUGUUAGAGGGGUCACACCCGUUUAGUGCUGCAGCUACGCGAUAAGCACUCCGCCUGGGGGAGUACGGCCGCAAGGCUGAAACUCAAGGAAUGACNGGGNCCCGCACAGCGGGUCGGAGCAUGUGGNNAUUCGAGCACCGC